UACACACCAUCUCAGACCACUGCUAAAGACAUUAUCCCCGCUACACCUGAUAAUUUCUCCCACUCAAUCACCAUUUCCUCACCCAUUACUCAACCUUUUUUUGCCAGCACAGUGGCUCAGAUUCAGCCUUCCCCUUCACCUGUUUCACCUUCUCAGGUGAAGGCAGCUAGGGCUCAGCCUGUCUCUGUGGCAUCCCCACCUGUGCCAGCUCCCAGGACGAGAGCAGCUGUGACCCAGUCUACCUCCACACCCGUUCCUGUUUCUCGGGUGGGGGUGACUGGUGUCCAGCCACCUCCCGUGCCUGUCCCAGCACCCAGGGUGAAGGCCGCUAGAACCCAGCCUGACCUCCCUAGAGGCUCAGAAGAGCCAGCCUCUCCACCUGUCAGUUCACCUCUUCAUCCACCUCCUGAUCCAGCCUUUCACGCCCUCGCACUAUCCCUGGUUAGGCUAGAUGAGGUGUCCCCUGCCCAGGCACCAGCUUUACUAGCCCAGGCUGUAGCUCAGCCGUUAGCCACACCAACCUCAGCUCCGUCGUCAGCUUGGCCUACCUCUGUUCAUCCCUUAGCAUCCCCACUCCAGUCAGUUCCCUCACCUGCUGUUCAGCCUCCAACCCAGUCAGUUCCCUCACCUGCUGUUCAGCUCCCAGCCCAGUCAGUUCCCUCUCCUGCUGUUCAGCUCCCAGCCCAGUCAGUUCCCUCUCCUGCUGUUCAGCUCCCAGUCCAGCCAGUUCACUCACCUGCUCUCCAGUCUGCUCCUGUCCAGUCACCUGUAGCUCAGGCUGCUCCAGUCCAGUCAGUCCAGUCGCCUCCUGCCCAGUCAGUCCAGUCGCCUCCUGUAGCCCAGUCUCCUCCUGUCCUCCAGUCUCUUGUAGUCCAGUCUCAUCCCGUCCUCCAGGCCUCUGUAGUCCAGUCAUUCAUCCACCAUCCUGUUCAGUUCCUGAACCUGCAGCCACAGCAUCCAGAGCCAGCUGUGAGCUCUCCCGCUCCUCAGCCAGGGGUUUCCGCACCCGCUGGCCCGGCCGCUCCUCAGCCAGGGGUUUCCACACCCUCUGGCCCUGCCUGUCUCCAGCCAGGAGUUUCCGCGCCUCCUGGCCCUGCCCGUCUCCAGCCAGGGGCUUCUGCACCUCCUGGCCCUGCCUGUCUCCAGCCAGAGGCCUCCGCGCCUACUGGCCCAGCCUCCGAAGCUGUUGCUCCGUCACCGCCGGCUCCCAUGCCGUCGCCUGGUCAAACCUCGGCCUCGGCUCAAGCUUCUGCCUCUGCGUUAGCCUCGCCUGGUCCUGCGGCUGCCACGCCGUCGCCCAAGCCACGUUCUGGACGUCGCUGCCGUCUUCCUCGCGGCCGCCCACCGGACCUUCUCGGUGGCCGCCGCCGUCUUCCUCACGGCCGCCCACCGGACCUUCUCGGUGGCCGCCGCCGUCUUCCUCGCGGCCGCCCACCGGCCGCCCACCAUUAUCCUGCACCGCGAGUCCAGCGUUUGGGUCAUCUCUUCCUCACCUCCACACACGACACUCCUGACAUGUCCUGCAGGUUUUAG
Molecule: long non-coding RNA, 1533 nt
Filed under: Oreochromis niloticus (Nile tilapia)
Lineage: Eukaryota; Metazoa; Chordata; Actinopteri; Cichliformes; Cichlidae
Description: lncRNA (ENSONIG00000041153.1)
Source: RNAcentral